Molecule: ribosomal RNA, 746 nt
Filed under: fungal sp.
Lineage: Eukaryota; Fungi
Description: eukaryotic LSU rRNA
Rfam family: Eukaryotic large subunit ribosomal RNA (bases 497-746)
Source: RNAcentral
AUUACAGAGUUGCAAAACUCCCAAACCACCGUGAACGUUACCUACAUCGUUGCUUCGGCGGGUGGCGGGCUUCGGCCCUGCCCUCGGCCCCUCUCGGGGGCCCGCCGGAGGUACACCAAACUCUUGAAUUUACAUGGCCUCUCUGAGUCUUCUGUACUGAAUAAGUCAAAACUUUCAACAACGGAUCUCUUGGUUCUGGCAUCGAUGAAGAACGCAGCGAAAUGCGAUAAGUAAUGUGAAUUGCAGAAUUCAGUGAAUCAUCGAAUCUUUGAACGCACAUUGCGCCCGCCAGUAUUCUGGCGGGCAUGCCUGUCCGAGCGUCAUUUCAACCAUCAAGCCCCCGGCUUGUGUUGGGGACCUGCGGCACACCCGCAGGCCCUGAAAACCAGUGGCGGGCUCGCUGUCCACACCGAGCGUAGUAGCAUAUCUUUGUCUCGCUCAGGGCGUGCGGCGGGUUCCGGCCGUGAAACCCACCUUCUCGAAGGUACCCAAAGGUUGACCUCGGAUCAGGUAGGAAGACCCGCUGAACUUAAGCAUAUCAAUAAGCGGAGGAAAAGAAACCAACAGGGAUUGCCCUAGUAACGGCGAGUGAAGCGGCAACAGCUCAAAUUUGAAAUCUGGCUUCGGCCCGAGUUGUAAUUUGCAGAGGAAGCUUUAGGCGCGGCACCUUCUGAGUCCCCUGGAACGGGGCGCCCAUAGAGGGUGAGAGCCCCGUAUAGUUGGAUGCCUAGCCUGUGUAAAGCUCC